CGGACGGGUGAGUAAUGCUUGGGAAUCUGGCUUAUGGAGGGGGAUAACGACGGGAAACUGUCGCUAAUACCGCGUAGUGUCGAGAGACGAAAGACCGGGACCGUAAGGCCGGUUGCCAUAAGAUGAGCCCAAGUGGGAUUAGGUAGUUGGUGGGGUAAAGGCCUACCAAGCCUGCGAUCUCUAGCUGGUCUGAGAGGAUGGCCAGCCACACUGGAACUGAGACACGGUCCAGACUCCUACGGGAGGCAGCAGUGGGGAAUAUUGCGCAAUGGGGGCAACCCUGACGCAGCCAUGCCGCGUGAAUGAAGAAGGCCUUCGGGUUGUAAAGUUCUUUCGGUGAUGAGGAAGGCGGUUAGUUUAAUAGGCUAAUCGAUUGACGUUAAUCACAGAAGAAGCACCGGCUAACUCCAUGGCAGCAGCCGCGGUAAUACGGAGGGUGCGAGCGUUAAUCGGAAUAACUGGGCGUAAAGGGCACGCAGGCGGUUGCUUAAGUGAGGUGUGAAAUCCCCGGGCUUAACCUGGGAAUUGCAUUUCAGACUGGGCAGCUAGAGUAUUU
This 556-nucleotide ribosomal RNA is filed under the name uncultured Pasteurella sp. RNAcentral describes it as "bacterial SSU rRNA". It matches the Rfam family "Bacterial small subunit ribosomal RNA", at positions 99 to 651 of the family's 1533-position model. Lineage: Bacteria; Pseudomonadati; Pseudomonadota; Gammaproteobacteria; Pasteurellales; Pasteurellaceae. The record is from RNAcentral.